AGCGAACGCUGGCGGUAGGCCUAACACAUGCAAGUCGAACGAACUCACCGGAGUUAGUGGCGGACGGGUGUGUCACAUGUCGGAAGGUGCCGUUUUGCUCGGAAUAAUACAGGUAAACUUGUGCUAAUACCGAAUGUGUUCCUCGGGGGAAAGAUUUAUCGCCAUUAGAGCGGCCCGCGUCGGACUAGCUUGUUGGUGAGGUAACGGCCCACCACGGAGACGAUCAGUAGCUGGUCAGAGAGCCUGGCCAGCGACACUGGGACUGGGACACGGCCCAGACUCCUACGGGAGGCAGCAGUGGGGGAUCUAGCGAAAUGGGCGAAAGCCUGACGCAGCCAUGCCGCGUGAAUGAUGAUGGUCUUAGGAUUGUAAAAUUCUUUCACCGGGGACGAUAAUGACGGUACCCGGAGAAGAAGCCCCGGCUAACUUCGUG
This 433-nucleotide ribosomal RNA is filed under the name uncultured bacterium. RNAcentral's name for it is "partial 16S ribosomal RNA". It matches the Rfam family "Bacterial small subunit ribosomal RNA", at positions 29 to 507 of the family's 1533-position model. The record is from RNAcentral.